Medicago truncatula (barrel medic) is the source of this 554-nucleotide long non-coding RNA. RefSeq lists it as uncharacterized. The transcript is spliced from 2 exons. NCBI's taxonomy places the organism in Eukaryota, Viridiplantae, Streptophyta, Magnoliopsida, Fabales, Fabaceae. The record is from RefSeq and is a predicted model, not a curated record.
UCGAUUGGAGCAGGAAACCUACAUCAAAUCAUAAAGGAACCAUAAGUUGUUAUUACUGCUAUUGUUGUUGGUUUGCUACUGCUGCUCUAAAUGGGAGUCAUAACAUAAAGUUUUUUCAAUCAGAUUUUGGGUCAUUUUCUUCAUGGUAAACGGAUGAAAGAGCCAAAUGUAGCCGAGUUUAUAUUAGCACUAGCUGGUGUAAGCAAAAAAAAAAAAUGGUUAUGGCAUGUGCUACUUCAGCAGGCUCUACCACACUAGCUUUAGUUGUUGCUGUUAAUCAAAUUAGUGGUGGCUAAGUCAUUUGCAUUGUCGUAAACCAUGAAGAUCUAAGGGCCUAAUUCAAUUUCAUGGUUGGAAAAGAACAAAUACCAAUGUUAGACCAAUAUGAAUGAGCAUUUUUUUUGCAAAUUGACUGUAAUCUUAAGAGUUUGACAAAUUAAAUUAUUGUUUUUGUACUGCCUUUGCUUUGGCUUGGUAUAUUUGGCUAUUAAAUUCUGCAGUGGUGGCAUGGUCUGUUUUUUAUGACUGUUUAGUGGAAAAGUGGAUUUCAUUAA